AUUGAAACACUGGUUCCUAUACAAUCACCAAAGUUAAGCAACGUUGGGUCUGGUCUGUACCUAAAUGGGUGACUGCUUGGAAAUACCAGAUGCUAU
Acanthosepion pharaonis is the source of this 96-nucleotide non-coding RNA. Lineage: Eukaryota; Metazoa; Mollusca; Cephalopoda; Sepiida; Sepiidae. The record is from the annotation of a GenBank genome assembly.